RNAcentral lists this ribosomal RNA (1346 nucleotides) under uncultured bacterium. RNAcentral's name for it is "partial 16S ribosomal RNA". It matches the Rfam family "Bacterial small subunit ribosomal RNA", at positions 28 to 1381 of the family's 1533-position model. The record is from RNAcentral.
GACGAACUUUGGCGGCGUGCUUAACACAUGCAAGUCGAACGGAAAGGCCCUGCUUUUGUGGGGUGCUCGAGUGGCGAACGGGUGAGUAACACGUGAGUAACCUGCCCUUGACUUUGGGAUAACUUCAGGAAACUGGGGCUAAUACCGGAUAGGAGCUCCUGCUGCAUGGUGGGGGUUGGAAAGUUUCGGCGGUUGGGGAUGGACUCGCGGCUUAUCAGCUUGUUGGUGGGGUAGUGGCUUACCAAGGCUUUGACGGGUAGCCGGCCUGAGAGGGUGACCGGCCACAUUGGGACUGAGAUACGGCCCAGACUCCUACGGGAGGCAGCAGUGGGGAAUAUUGCACAAUGGGCGGAAGCCUGAUGCAGCAACGCCGCGUGCGGGAUGACGGCCUUCGGGUUGUAAACCGCUUUCGCCUGUGACGAAGCGUGAGUGACGGUAAUGGGUAAAGAAGCACCGGCUAACUACGUGCCAGCAGCCGCGGUGAUACGUAGGGUGCGAGCGUUGUCCGGAUUUAUUGGGCGUAAAGGGCUCGUAGGUGGUUGAUCGCGUCGGAAGUGUAAUCUUGGGGCUUAACCCUGAGCGUGCUUUCGAUACGGGUUGACUUGGGGAAGGUAGGGGAGAAUGGAAUUCCUGGUGGAGCGGUGGAAUGCGCAGAUAUCAGGAGGAACCCCAGUGGCGAAGGCGGUUUUCUGGGCCUUUCCUGACGCUGAGGAGCGAAAGCGUGGGGAGCGAACAGGCUUAGAUACCCUGGUAGUCCACGCUGUAAACGGUGGGUACUAGGUGUGGGGUCCAUUCCACGGGUUCCGUGCCGUAGCUAACGCUUUAAGUACCCCGCCUGGGGAGUACGGCCGCAAGGCUAAAACUCAAAGGAAUUGACGGGGCCCCGCACAAGCGGCGGAGCAUGCGGAUUAAUUCGAUGCAACGCGUAGAACCUUACCUGGGUUUGACAUGGAUCGGGAGUGCUCAGAGAUGGGUGUGCCUCUUUUGGGGUCGGUUCACAGGUGGUGCAUGCCUGUCGUCAGCUCGUGUCGUGAGAUGUUGGGUUAAGUCCCGCAACGAGCGCAACCCUUGUUCACUGUUGCCAGCACGUUAUGGUGGGGACUCAGUGGAGACCGCCGGGGUCAACUCGGAGGAAGGUGGGGAUGACGUCAAGUCAUCAUGCCCCUUAUGUCCAGGGCUUCACGCAUGCUACAAUGGCUGGUACAGAGAGUGGCGAGCCUGUGAGGGUGAGCGAAUCUCGGAAAGCCGGUCUCAGUUCGGAUUGGGGUCUGCAACUCGACCUCAUGAAGUCGGAGUCGCUAGUAAUCGCAGAUCAGCAACGCUGCGGUGAAUACGUUCCCGGGGCU